AUCCAGGUGACGAGUGCCAAACAGGAUGAAACGUGCGUCUUGGAU
RNAcentral lists this non-coding RNA (45 nucleotides) under Schistosoma haematobium. The record is from RNAcentral. Lineage: Eukaryota; Metazoa; Platyhelminthes; Trematoda; Strigeidida; Schistosomatidae.